GAUGAACGCGCGCGGCGUGCCUAAUACAUGCAAGUCGAGCGAACAGAUGAGGAGCUUGCUCCUCUGAAGUUAGCUGCGGACGGGUGAUUAACACGUGGAUAACCUACCUAUAAAACUGGGAUAACUUCGGGAAACCGGAGCUAAUACCGGAUAAUAUAUUGAACCGCAUGGUUCAAUAGUGAAAGACGGUUUUGCUGUCACUUAUAGAUGGAUCCGCGCCGCAUUAGCUAGUUAGGAAGGUAACGGCUUACCAAAGCAACGAUGCGUAGCCGGCCUGAGAGGGGUCCACGGCCCCACUGGAACGGCGAAACGUUCCGACCACUGAGGGAGGGCAUAGCCGGGAAUUGUGCCGCGAGGGCGAAAGCCUGACGGAGCAACGCCGCGUGCGUGAUGAAGGUCUUCGGCUCGUAAAACUCUGUUAUUCGGGACGAACAAAUGUGUACGUAACUAUGCACGUCUUGACGGUACCUAAUCAGAAAGCCAGGGCUAACUACGUG
Molecule: ribosomal RNA, 497 nt
Filed under: uncultured bacterium
Lineage: Bacteria
Description: partial 16S ribosomal RNA
Rfam family: Bacterial small subunit ribosomal RNA
Source: RNAcentral